RNAcentral lists this RNase P RNA (412 nucleotides) under Paludibacter sp. RNAcentral describes it as "RNase P RNA component class A". It matches the Rfam family "Bacterial RNase P class A". Rfam says of the family: Ribonuclease P (RNase P) is a ubiquitous endoribonuclease, found in archaea, bacteria and eukarya as well as chloroplasts and mitochondria. Its best characterised activity is the generation of mature 5'-ends of tRNAs by cleaving the 5'-leader elements of precursor-tRNAs. Cellular RNase Ps are ribonucleoproteins. Lineage: Bacteria; Pseudomonadati; Bacteroidota; Bacteroidia; Bacteroidales; Paludibacteraceae. The record is from RNAcentral.
AUAGCAAGCCGGUUUGUCGCCUUAUUUUAUUGAUAAGGAGGAAAGUCCGGGCAACAAAGAGCACCAUAUUUCUUAACGGGAAGCUGUUCGCGAGAGCAGAGUAGUGUAACAGAAAAUAACCGCUCCAUAAACACUUUAGCUUUGUUUCCUCUCCGUAUGGAAAGGAAAUCAAGAGCUUGUGAAUUUGGAGUAAGGGUGAAAAGGUGGGGUAAAAGCCCACCGGUACUAUUGGUGACAAUGGUAGCCGUACACCUUAUGGGUUGCAAGAUCAUGUAUACCGGCGUAUGUAGGAUGGCUCGUCCGAUGCCGGGGGGUAGAUUGCUGGAGACACAGGGCGACUUGUGUACUAGAUAAAUGACAAACACUUUGUUUCGGCAAAGAACAGAACCCGGCUUACAGGCUUGCUGUUUUU